Chlorocebus sabaeus (green monkey) is the source of this 1390-nucleotide long non-coding RNA. RefSeq lists it as uncharacterized. NCBI's taxonomy places the organism in Eukaryota, Metazoa, Chordata, Mammalia, Primates, Cercopithecidae. The record is from RefSeq and is a predicted model, not a curated record.
GCGGGGCCGCGGGGCGGGGCGGAGCUGGCUGUUGCACAGGCCCACGGUCAAGGCCUCGCUGGGUCCUCAGCCCCGGCCGACAGGCCGGUUGCUGGGAGGCGAAGUGCGGAUCACAGCGCCUGGGGAGGCCCACCUUGGCUGCCCGCCCUGGAGCGACCUGAAGGGAAGGAUUCGAGCUGGGAGUGCGGCUGCCGCGGGUCGGACGCCCCUCUGGGGAGACCAAGGACCCGGGAGAGAGGUAGAGGGGAACAGAGACAGCCACCAGCUUCUAUCUUCUGCUGUGGCCUAUACAAAAGCACUCCAGGUUUCUGCCAAUACUCUGUCCUUGGUUGCCUGAGCAAAAUCGUAUAAAGGGAGCUGCUUGGAGGGAAAGGAACACAAUGAAACACCUCUGGAGGUAUUUCAAAGAGUAGUUUCUCAUCUCUCUGAUUUCAGGAAGAGGAGAAGAGAGGGAGAGAAAAGUGGAAUUAUUAAAGUCAUCUAACUCAUUGGUCUUGUUCAACAAGAAAGAAUUCUGGUUUGUGGCUGAAUCUGAUUUAACAGCUGCCAAUAGCUCAUUACUUCUAAGAUGUAUAUCUAAUUCAAAACUAGAUGCUCCCCCUCUCCCUCUUUUUUUCCUAAAAGCUGGGAACUUGUAAGUAAAUGGCCUAGUGAAAUAGACACUGGCUAUUUUAGAAAAGGGGUCAGAAGGUGGACCAGGAACUAUGUAUCAGGGAGAAGUAAGCGAGGCACAAGCCCAGGUCAUCUAGGCUGUGUUUAUUCAGUCCACCCAAUCCAAUUUCAAAGCCCCAAGUGGGCCAGGGUUACCUUUAUCUUCCCACCUUUGUAUUUCCGAAAGCUUUCUCACCUCAGUGGACUACUUUGUCUGAUGAAUAGCUCAAAGAGGACAUUGUUUUGGAAAAAGUCCCAAGGGCUUUCCCCUUCCUGGGUAGCUCCCUACCAUAAGUCAAAUUCAAGUUCUGGUAGCCUUGUCUACCCCUUGUAGGCGAGUGAAGAAUGCCCACAGAGUCCGGAUGUGGUGAAAUGCUGCGCAUGGAUUCCUCAGGAUUUAAACUGCAUAUUAUUAGAGAAAAAGAGCAUUCUAUGGCAAGGGUAGUCUAUAUAAAAACUUGGUUUACUCAAUGUUUUUAAUUAGGCGAGUGAACACUUAUGUACAUAAUAUUAAAUAAUAUUAAACUAAUAAAAAGAGAGGUAAAAUUCCUAUCCAUUGUAAUUGUAAAAUUAUGUCAUCAGCAAAUUCUAUAGUCACAUGGGCUCAAAGAUCUGCCUCAUCCACUCUUGUUCCCUAGGUCAAGGAACCCUGAGCCAGGGUACCUGGGAGGCAUGGUCAGCAUCGCCAGUGCACAUACACUCUGUGCCCAUACCACCACUAACGCGCCCAGCUGAAGCG